RNAcentral lists this ribosomal RNA (269 nucleotides) under uncultured Anoxybacillus sp. RNAcentral describes it as "partial 16S ribosomal RNA". It matches the Rfam family "Bacterial small subunit ribosomal RNA", at positions 1111 to 1382 of the family's 1533-position model. Lineage: Bacteria; Bacillati; Bacillota; Bacilli; Caryophanales; Anoxybacillaceae. The record is from RNAcentral.
UUAGUUGCCAGCAUUCAGUUGGGCACUCUAAGGUGACUGCGGCUAAAAGUCGGAGGAAGGUGGGGAUGACGUCAAAUCAUCAUGCCCCUUAUGACCUGGGCUACACACGUGCUACAAUGGGCGGUACAAAGGGUCGCGAACCCGCGAGGGGGAGCCAAUCCCAAAAAGCCGCUCUCAGUUCGGAUUGCAGGCUGCAACUCGCCUGCAUGAAGCCGGAAUCGCUAGUAAUCGCGGAUCAGCAUGCCGCGGUGAAUACGUUCCCGGGCCUU